Molecule: long non-coding RNA, 1786 nt
Organism: Macaca mulatta (Rhesus monkey)
Lineage: Eukaryota; Metazoa; Chordata; Mammalia; Primates; Cercopithecidae
Source: RefSeq, a predicted model, not a curated record
AAAAAAAAAAAAAAAAAAAAAAAAAAGAAUGAAAAGGGGACUCGCUUCCGAGAAGCUGCCCUCUCUGCAAACUUAAGGGACUGAAGUUAGGGAGAGGAAAGGGAUACACAUCUGUUAGUGCGAGUUGCAUGUCUUGUUAGUGCGAACUUAAACCCAAGUUUCCUUUCGGAAGACUUUGGUGAAAGAGUACAGGAACACCAGCCACUCCAGAAAGAGAAGACCGCUCCUCUUGAACCCGCCCAUUUAACUCUUCCCACAGGCUCUGCGUUCCGCAUACCUCCACCCUGAUUUUAGACAGUUAAAGGCGCACAAUCAAGGAAUGUCGACAGAGGGCGUCCUUGCUCUAAGUAGCAUUGUCCCCCUGCUUCCUGAGCGGAGAUGAUCCUUCUCUGAACCUGGACUUCUGGCGUUGUGCCUCUAUCCAUUUCCCUGCUUCAAAGCUCUCCUAAUUGACUUUGUUUUCGGACGCUUCCCCACUUUACCCUCCAGGAGUGUUGCUUCUUUUAUUUCUUUGCUUUGCUGUUGCUUCUUUGCUUGGAUGGUUGUUUGGCUUAGUAAAUAGACCUAGACCCCACCCCAUGGUGUAGAAGCAGUUGGUGGACUUCUACAAAGGGCCAGAUAGUACACAUUUUAGGCUUUGCAAUCUCCUUAUGGUUGUAAGUUCGGCUGUUGUAGCACAAAAGCAGCCUUGGACAGUAAACAAAUAGGUGUGGCUGUGUUCCAACAAAACUUCAUUGAAAUUUGAAUUUCACUGUAAAUUUCACGUGUCAUGAGAUUUUUUUUUUAACCAUUUAAAAAUGUAAAAAAUAAUGUGUGUGUCUGUGUGUUUUAGCUUGGGCCGCCAGCUAGCAGUAGUUUGCCAAUUCUUGGUAGAGAAACAGAGCAGUCUCCACCUAGAUCUGGGAAUUCUGGGAGAGAGGUCCUUGCCAAAAUAACAGUUCAUGGCCUGCUUUUCUAGAUCUGGGAGUGAGUAGGACUACUACUAGACUCUCAUUUGACCUCUCCUUUGGGAAUUGCAGGGUAUAUAGUGCCCACUGAUUGGUGGGAAUUUUGUCAAGGUGGGUCUGAUAAUCUGUGGCUUCUUUCCCUUCCCAGCUCUUUAGAGUCUUUCUUUUUCAUCGUUCUCUCCCUCUCUCUUUUUAGAGAUGUGUUCUUGCCAUGUUGCCCAGGCUGAGCACAGUGACUAUUCACAGGCCGGAUCUAGUGCACUGCAGUCUUGAACUCCUGGCUUACAGUCCUGCUGGUUUCUGAGAAGCAGUGGAAGAAAUGGCCACCAUGCUCUGCAGCUAGGUCUCAGGGGAUACCAGAACAACCCACAUGUAAAUAGUCAGUUGAAUCCUGAACGUGAGACAUUUUUCAAGACAACUGACCUGCUCUCUUAAAGAAGAAGUACCAAAGUGGGGACUGUUCUAGAUAGAUGAAACAGAUUUAAUAAUCAAUACUAUGUGUGAAAACUGACUGGAUCAACAGAGGAAAUUUAAACACAGACUAGGUGUUCAGAUAUUAGGGAAUUACUGUUCUUUUUUUUUUUUUUUUUAAAGGUAUGUAAAUGUAUUGUGGUUAUGUAAAAGACCAUCCUUAUUUUUAUGCAAUGCAUGCUUAAGUGUUUAGCGAUGAAAUGUAAUGUCUGUAAGUUCCUUUCCAAUGUUUGGUUAAAAAAAAUAUGGCAAAAUGUUAGUUUUAAAAUCUAGGUGGGUAUACAGUUCACUUUAUUAUUUUUAAACCUUUCUGUAUAUUUGAAAACUCAUAAUAAAAAGUUCCGGAAAAUAAAGCUAUUUGCUAAAAA